GACGAACGCUGGCGGCGUGCUUAACACAUGCAAGUCGUACGGUAAGGCCCUUUCGGGGGUCCACGAGUGGCGAACGGGUGAGUAACACGUGAGUAACCUGCCCACAACUUUGGGAUAACGCUAGGAAACUGGUGCUAAUACUGGAUAUGUGCUCCUGCUGCAUGGUGGGGGUUGGAAAGCUCCGGCGGUUGUGGAUGGACUCGCGGCCUAUCAGCUUGUUGGUGGGGUAGUGGCCUACCAAGGCGGCGACGGGUAGCCGGCCUGAGAGGGUGACCGGCCACAUUGGGACUGAGAUACGGCCCAGACUCCUACGGGAGGCAGCAGUGGGGAAUAUUGCACAAGGGGCGCAAGCCGGAUGCAGCAACGCCGCGGGCGGGAUGACGGCCUUCGGGUUGUAAACCGCUUUCAGCAGGGACGAAGCUUUUUGUGACGGUACCUGCAGAAGAAGCACCGGCUAACUACGUG
RNAcentral lists this ribosomal RNA (465 nucleotides) under uncultured bacterium. RNAcentral's name for it is "partial 16S ribosomal RNA". It matches the Rfam family "Bacterial small subunit ribosomal RNA", at positions 28 to 507 of the family's 1533-position model. The record is from RNAcentral.